UUUAUACGUUACUUCGUAUUCUCAUCCAACAUGUGACUGUUUUCCGAGUAAAGUGUUUUAAAUCAAGAUGUGAUUCAUCGCACUUCGUGAGAAGUGGAUAAAAAAGUUUGGGGCUCUGUCUUAUGAUUUCAAUAAUGGUUGUGACAUACUAUUGAAAAGAUUCGAAAUUGCCAAAAAGUUUAGAUUCACGGAGCAAACCAAGCGACUCCCGAAAGAGAAGCAAGGUAGGUAGAGGUGUGGUAAUGAUCCUUCCGCAGGUUCACCUACGGAAA
Molecule: unclassified non-coding RNA, 272 nt
Filed under: uncultured fungus
Lineage: Eukaryota; Fungi
Description: sequence contains ITS1
Source: RNAcentral